This 409-nucleotide long non-coding RNA is filed under the name Oncorhynchus kisutch (coho salmon). Its description in RNAcentral is "lncRNA (ENSOKIG00005027072.1)". Lineage: Eukaryota; Metazoa; Chordata; Actinopteri; Salmoniformes; Salmonidae. The record is from RNAcentral.
UGCAUGCCCAACAUUCUGUCUAUCUGACAGCUGUCUUGAUCACAAAACUUAGCUUUCGGCGUUUUGUUGUGAGCCAUCUAAAUGCAGGAAGCAACAGGACACAGGCCUUCAACAAAAUGGCACCCAAUACCACACGCAACCAGCUGAUUAUCAUAUUCAUUUUCCUCAGGUGUUUAAAAAGUCUCCUGAGGGCCCUUUUCCUGAGCAGCCGCCAUCAUCGCUGCCUGAGUGGACUGAGGGAGCCGAUGGGAGAGAAAGAGGGAGGAUGCUGCACCUUGGCGGAGAAAGGGAGGAGGAGGACGAGGAGGAGGAAUUAAUUUUUCCCCUCUGGGAAGAAACACAUGCUGAAUCUCAAGAGUUAGCAGUGAAUCUACCUAUCUUACUCUGAUUGGCAUUAAGAGGGAGGAAG